GUUUUGCUCAUUUAAGGAGAUAUUAUACAACACAUUAAAUGCAGUGAGGAUAUCUGUCAAAAUCUAAGGUCCUCCAUCUCUGCCAUUAUCUAUCUUCCAUUAUAGGUUGACACUAAUUGCAAAAAUGAUAUAAUCUUCAAAAACUAUAUGAGCGUUAAAAUUAAUGGAUAGGAUAAAAUCUUAAGUAUUCUCACUGAAUAAAAGCUUAGAGAGAAUGGGCCAUGGGCUGACACAGAAAGCUUGGAUGUGGAUUAUAUCAAAAAUUGCAUCUAAUACAGAAAACAACAGAGAACCAAAAGGGAAUGUAAAGAAAACAUGACUGGUGCUUGUGGAGUAAAUUUCAGAGAAAUUACUGAUGAAGAUGAGUGGACAGAAAACACAUUUGGAGUCCUUUGGCUCUAAAAAUGACCAACAGCACAAAAGCAAAUAAAACAGCACAACAACAGAGCACAAAAAAAAACCAAAAAACCAAAAACAACCUAAGAAGUUAGAUAUUUUGACUGGAACCUGCCACCCUUUGCACUAGCAAACUAAUCAUAGCUUUGUGAUAUUCUUCCAGGUCUGUUUCUGGUAAAGGCGUUGUAAUGUAAUAGACUUUCAUCUGCACCAGAUGGUACAAGUCCCUGAUGAAUCAUAUGCCAGCUGCAGCCAGAAUGCAACACGCUCCAACUACGCGGCCUCUUUCACUGUGCAGCCAGCACAGCACUCAGAGCCACAGAACAUGUGUCGGAGGCUCUCUAUGUAGUUGUCCAUAGUUACCCAGGAGCACCAGAAAGAUUUCCAGCCACCUUGUGCCACCCCGUGUAAGAAAUGGGAAAUUGCACAGCUCUGCUCACCAUGGUGACCUGGGUAGUGGUCCUGCAGAUGGCAAUGGGUGCAACGUGAAGGCAGUUCUGAGUUUAUCAGCAACCAAAUGGUCUGAUGGAGGAUAAGGAAGGUUGCCACACACCCCCUCCAUCAUAAGUCCAGCUGUUCACAAACACUGCACCAGCAGACGGAGAUCCCUAUCCACUCAAUCCUAAAUAGCUCAGCAUAUCAAAUACCUGUACACAGAUUGUACAGAACUCCUGUAAUCAGAUCUGCACUAUUAAAAACCGGGAUCCUACGGGCAUGAGGUGUCUGUUCCAAGGUGCGUACAGCAGUAAUGGUAAGUUUGGUGUGCAGCCAGGAAAAUGCCAUGUCCUGAAGCACUGAAUAGUGCUGUUUCAUCACCUUCUGUGGCUGUUACCUCCACAAACAAAUAAAUGGUGACAAUGGAGGUGGGAGAAUAAAAUACUGUUUUCCUUUUGCUGUUCCCACUUCCUGUUUUAUUGUGUUUCUCAUGCCAGCAGCCUCAUACUUCUUUAUAUUUAAGCUGGCUCCUGCUUUGUGUUUAUUACCUGAUAAGCCGAUUUUGCAGUAACGCCUACAGGCUGUUUGCUGUGAAUUAUACUAAUUCCUUAUAAAUAUUCUAAUAAAUUUACCUUAAUUGCUUUAUUUCCC
Non-coding RNA from Coturnix japonica (Japanese quail), 1482 nucleotides. Lineage: Eukaryota; Metazoa; Chordata; Aves; Galliformes; Phasianidae. The record is from RefSeq and is a predicted model, not a curated record.